UACGGAGGGUGCAAGCGUUGUUCGGAAUUAUUGGGCGUAAAGGGCGCGUAGGCGGUGCGGUAAGUCACCUGUGAAAUCUCCUGGCUCAACCUGGAGACGCCACCCGAUACUGCUGUGGCUAGAGUCCGGUAGGGGAGCGUGGAAUUCCUGGUGUAGCGGUGAAAUGCGCAGAUAUCAGGAGGAACACCAGCGGCGAAGGCGGCGCUCUGGGCCGGUACUGACGCUGAGGAGCGAAAGCGUGGGGAGCAAACAGG
RNAcentral lists this ribosomal RNA (254 nucleotides) under uncultured bacterium. RNAcentral describes it as "partial 16S ribosomal RNA". It matches the Rfam family "Bacterial small subunit ribosomal RNA", at positions 524 to 776 of the family's 1533-position model. The record is from RNAcentral.